Molecule: transfer RNA, 88 nt
Filed under: Pseudomonadota bacterium
Lineage: Bacteria; Pseudomonadati; Pseudomonadota
Description: Proteobacteria bacterium (sediment metagenome) tRNA-Leu
Rfam family: tRNA
About the family: Transfer RNA (tRNA) molecules are approximately 80 nucleotides in length. Their secondary structure includes four short double-helical elements and three loops (D, anti-codon, and T loops). Further hydrogen bonds mediate the characteristic L-shaped molecular structure. tRNAs have two regions of fundamental functional importance: the anti-codon, which is responsible for specific mRNA codon recognition, and the 3' end, to which the tRNAs corresponding amino acid is attached (by aminoacyl-tRNA synthetases). tRNAs cope with the degeneracy of the genetic code in two manners: having more than one tRNA (with a specific anti-codon) for a particular amino acid; and 'wobble' base-pairing, i.e. permitting non-standard base-pairing at the 3rd anti-codon position.
Source: RNAcentral
GCCCGGAUGGCGGAACAGGUAGACGCAAGGGACUUAAAAUCCCUCGGUAUAAUAUACCGUGCCGGUUCGAUUCCGGCUCCGGGCACCA